This 263-nucleotide ribosomal RNA is filed under the name uncultured bacterium. RNAcentral's name for it is "partial 16S ribosomal RNA". It matches the Rfam family "Bacterial small subunit ribosomal RNA", at positions 793 to 1055 of the family's 1533-position model. The record is from RNAcentral.
GUCCAUGCCGUAAACGAUGAGAACUGGCUGUUGGGCACCUUGGGUGCUUAGUAGCGAAGCUAACGCGUUAAGUUCUCCGCCUGGGGAGUACGGCCGCAAGGUUAAAACUCAAAGGAAUUUACGGGGGCCCGCACAAGCGGUGGAGCAUGCGGUUUAAUUCGACGCAACGCGAAGAACCUUACCUACCCUUGACAUCCUAGGAAUUGAGCAGAGAUGUUUGAGUGCCUUCGGGAGCCUAGAGACAGGUGCUGCAUGGCUGUCGU